GUGCCAGCAGCCGCGGUAAUACGUAGGAUGCAAGCGUUGUCCGGAAUUACUGGGCGUAAAGGGCGAGUAGGCGGCCCCGCAAGUCAGAUGUGAAAUAGCCCGGCUUAACCGGGAGGGGUCAUUUGAAACUGCGGAGCUAGAGUGCAGGAGAGGCUAGCGGAAUUCCCGGUGUAGUGGUGAAAUGCGUAGAUAUCGGGAGGAACACCAGUGGCGAAGGCGGCUAGCUGGCCUGUAACUGACGCUGAGGCGCGAAGGCUAGGGGAGCGAACAGGAUUAGAUACCCUGGUAGUCC
RNAcentral lists this ribosomal RNA (292 nucleotides) under uncultured bacterium. RNAcentral describes it as "partial 16S ribosomal RNA". It matches the Rfam family "Bacterial small subunit ribosomal RNA", at positions 505 to 796 of the family's 1533-position model. The record is from RNAcentral.